GACGAACGCUGGCGGCGUGCUUAACAUAUGCAAGUCGAACGGAAAGGCCCUGCUUUUGUGGGGUGCUCGAGUGGCGAACGGGUGAGUAACACGUGAGUAACCUGCCCUUGACUUUGGGAUAACUUCAGGAAACUGGGGCUAAUACCGGAUAGGAGCUCCUGCUGCAUGGUGGGGGUUGGAAAGUUUCGGCGGUUGGGGAUGGACUCGCGGCUUAUCAGCUUGUUGGUGGGGUAGUGGCUUACCAAGGCUUUGACGGGUAGCCGGCCUGAGAGGGUGACCGGCCACAUUGGGACUGAGAUACGGCCCAGACUCCUACGGGAGGCAGCAGUGGUGAAUAUUGCACAAUGGGCGGAAGCCUGAUGCAGCAACGCCGCGUGCGGGAUGACGGCCUUCGGGUUGUAAACCGCUUUCGCCUGUGACGAAGCGUGAGUGACGGUAAUGGGUAAAGAAGCACCGGCUAACUACGU
RNAcentral lists this ribosomal RNA (467 nucleotides) under uncultured bacterium. RNAcentral describes it as "partial 16S ribosomal RNA". It matches the Rfam family "Bacterial small subunit ribosomal RNA", at positions 28 to 506 of the family's 1533-position model. The record is from RNAcentral.